UGGGGUGUGGCUCAGUGGUAGAGGGCUUGCCUGGCACGUGUGAGGCGCUGGGUUUGAGUCUCAGCACCACAU
RNAcentral lists this transfer RNA (72 nucleotides) under Marmota monax (woodchuck). It matches the Rfam family "tRNA". Rfam says of the family: Transfer RNA (tRNA) molecules are approximately 80 nucleotides in length. Their secondary structure includes four short double-helical elements and three loops (D, anti-codon, and T loops). Further hydrogen bonds mediate the characteristic L-shaped molecular structure. tRNAs have two regions of fundamental functional importance: the anti-codon, which is responsible for specific mRNA codon recognition, and the 3' end, to which the tRNAs corresponding amino acid is attached (by aminoacyl-tRNA synthetases). tRNAs cope with the degeneracy of the genetic code in two manners: having more than one tRNA (with a specific anti-codon) for a particular amino acid; and 'wobble' base-pairing, i.e. permitting non-standard base-pairing at the 3rd anti-codon position. Lineage: Eukaryota; Metazoa; Chordata; Mammalia; Rodentia; Sciuridae. The record is from Rfam by way of RNAcentral.